CAGUCGCCGCGGUAAUACGUAGGGUGCGAGCGUUAAUCGGAAUUACUGGGCGUAAAGCGUGCGCAGGCGGUUCGUUAAGACAGAUGUGAAAUCCCCGGGCUUAACCUGGGAACUGCAUUUGUGACUGGCGAACUAGAGUAUGGCAGAGGGGGGUAGAAUUCCACGUGUAGCAGUGAAAUGCGUAGAGAUGUGGAGGAAUACCGAUGGCGAAGGCAGCCCCCUGGGCCAAUACUGACGCUCAUGCACGAAAGCGUGGGGAGCAAACAGGAUUAGAUACCCCCGUAGUCCCUGUCUCUUAUAC
Molecule: ribosomal RNA, 301 nt
Filed under: uncultured bacterium
Lineage: Bacteria
Description: partial 16S ribosomal RNA
Rfam family: Bacterial small subunit ribosomal RNA
Source: RNAcentral